Molecule: small nucleolar RNA, 126 nt
Organism: Grammomys surdaster
Lineage: Eukaryota; Metazoa; Chordata; Mammalia; Rodentia; Muridae
Product: small nucleolar RNA SNORA17
Exons: 1
Source: RefSeq, a predicted model, not a curated record
CCUACUCCUACAAGGUAAAUGGCUGCUAAGUCACAUGUGUGUUUCUAGGUGAGAGAAAGGAGAAAGGCUAUGUCUAUUCUCAGUGUUCUGACAGGUGAACAUUUGAAGAGUUUGUAGCCUAAUAUU